GGCUCUAGAGUUUACACAGCAUGGUGUGGAAAAACAACCAAAAACAACCCCAGAACAUCCAGUGAGACGGCCACAUUGGGUAUCGAUCCUGUAAGCCGAGAAAAGGAAUCCGAGGCUAUCAUGGCCACUGAAUCUGGACAGGUAAAGAUGGGGGAAAGAUCGAGCGAGGUUUUUUAGCUGUUUCGGAAAUACUCAAACCUGCUUUUCGGGCACCAACAACCAACGAUGUUUUUCCUCCAUUCUGUUGUCUGAAGCUCUUGACCUGUAUACUGUAUAUGUAUGACCGCAUAAUUGCAAGAAUGAGGUUAAAGUGAGUGUAGAUAUAAAGAGGAGACAUAUCGGAGGCUUGACACAGAACCACGUGGUUCUCCAUGUUGCACAUUGCCCCAGGCUUGUCAUUAACCUUCUUUGAAAUCAAUAAUCUGGUGUGUUCUCCGGAUAAGUCAUGUGCACAGCUUGCUAAUACUGUUCAGUGAAUGACGCUUCGUUUUGUGUGAGGACACGGAUGCAGAGCCAGACACCAGCCAGUCCAAACCUUGUUCCUUACCCAUGUCAUAUCAGUAGACGCAGAUGCGAGCUGACUUUUCUGGAGCAGAGAGAUAGGAUAGCAGAUGUCAUGGGUUUUUCCUUUACAGCCCAGAAUUCCUCCUUGUGAAUCAUGUAUGCCGAGUCGAGGAAGGCAAGGAAUCACAAUGAUGUCCUGAUAUGAAAGUGUUGAAUUACUGAACGUAUUCAGCUCUGGGUAGAAAUAAUAAACCGUGCUUUCUUAUUUAGUCCUUGCUAUGCUGGGUAAUGUUGUACGGAAAUAGCUCUCCCAUCAUCCUUUGUCGUUAGAACGAGACGCUGAUAGGGGUUUUUGUGUUUUUGUGUGGCAGCACACAUACAUUUAUAGAUUUGAUUUUAUUUCUCCUCACUGGUUUGAUUAGCGGACUGACGACAUGGCUCGAUUUAACGACUUGAUGACGGAAACGGAACGUUCAGAGACAAAUGGACAGAGAAGUACACGUUUAUUCUCCUCACGUACAAGUUCAUAUAUACACGCUGUAUAUUUUUAAUCUAUUCUAGUCAAAAGUGUUUUAUUGUAUUCAUAGCCAGACAUGUACGAUUUAAAAGGUAAACGGUUGCCAUGUUAGUCGUAAAAGAUUCGUAGUUGUAAAAGAUCUGUAAUGUAAAAGAUCCGUAGUGUAAAAGAUGCGUAGUUGUAAAAGAUUCGUAGUUGUAAAAGAUGCGUAGUUGUAAAAGAUUCGUAGUUGUAAAAGAUGCGUAGUUGUAAAAGAUCCGUAGUUGUAAAAGAUGCGUAGUUGUAAAAGAUUCUUAGUUGUAAAAGAUGCGUAGUUGUAAAAGAUGCGUAGUUGUAAAAGAUUCGUAGUUGUAAAAGAUCCGUAGUUGUAAAAGAUUCUUAGUUGUAAAAGAUGCGUAGUUGUAAAAGAUGCGUAGUUGUAAAAGAUUCGUAGUUGUAAAAGAUGCGUAGUUGUAAAAGAUCCGUAGUUGUAAAAGAUUCGUAGUUGUAAAAGAUUCGUAGUUAUAAAAGAUGCGUAGUUGUAAAAGAUCCGUAGUGUAAAAGGUACGUAGUUGUAAAAGAUUCGUAUUUGUAAAAGAAUCGCAGUUGUAAAAGAUUUGUUGUUGUAAAAGAUUCCUAGUUGUAAAAGAUUUGUAGUUGUAAAAGAUUAGUUUUGUGUAGCUUACAUUUUAUGUAACCGCAUGUCACAAACUGGGAUUGUUUUUUUUUCGCCGUUUAUCACACAAGCUAGCAUUUUAAAUUCAUAAACGUGAAUCAAAGUGGGUAAACUCAUUGCAUUUGAUAAAGAUUCAGAAUCAAAAAGGGCAAUGCUUUUAGUAUUGAGUGUUGUUUAACUUGGUUGUACAUAGAUUGCUUAAUUGCUUAACCGUGAGUCAUCUGUGCACAGGUGAAAUUUUAUGUGACACAAAUUUGGAUGAACAAAAUUGAAUUGGUUGAAUUUGAUUCAUUGAAUCGACUCGGUAAUUUUUUUUUUAAUGAUUCGCUUAGGGUGAACAGUAGCUGGUAAGUGUUUUUUCUUGAUUUUUAGUUGAAACUAGUUUUAGCAUCGGCUGUCAGAUAGAAGCUGUAACUGCGUUCCUUGUUGCUACGAGUUGUUUACACGUUGCUAGAUUAGAGCUAAUUCACACGAUUACACUUUGUUUUGCUAAUUAAAGAGGCAUGCUCAGGUGUGAAGCACCCCCACUACAGUACUUGAGAACUAGGAAACGCUGAGGCGGAAACGUCAGCCCUCACAUGAAGCCUUCUUCGUGUGAAGCCCGAGCUCGUGUAAAGACCUGCGAGUCUACCUGCACGAGUCCACCGUAAAGACACCACUCACGCUGCUAAGUAUCACUUUCUCCCUCUCUCCACCUUGUCCUCC
Molecule: long non-coding RNA, 2381 nt
Organism: Ictalurus punctatus (channel catfish)
Lineage: Eukaryota; Metazoa; Chordata; Actinopteri; Siluriformes; Ictaluridae
Source: Ensembl